UCCCUGGUAGCUCAGAUGGUAAAGAGUCUGCCUGCAAUGCAGGAGACCCAGGUUUGAUCCCUGGCUCAGGAA
This 72-nucleotide transfer RNA is filed under the name Bos taurus (domestic cattle). It matches the Rfam family "tRNA". From Rfam's summary of the family: Transfer RNA (tRNA) molecules are approximately 80 nucleotides in length. Their secondary structure includes four short double-helical elements and three loops (D, anti-codon, and T loops). Further hydrogen bonds mediate the characteristic L-shaped molecular structure. tRNAs have two regions of fundamental functional importance: the anti-codon, which is responsible for specific mRNA codon recognition, and the 3' end, to which the tRNAs corresponding amino acid is attached (by aminoacyl-tRNA synthetases). tRNAs cope with the degeneracy of the genetic code in two manners: having more than one tRNA (with a specific anti-codon) for a particular amino acid; and 'wobble' base-pairing, i.e. permitting non-standard base-pairing at the 3rd anti-codon position. Lineage: Eukaryota; Metazoa; Chordata; Mammalia; Artiodactyla; Bovidae. The record is from Rfam by way of RNAcentral. RNAcentral also lists the same sequence under 1 other name.